This 437-nucleotide ribosomal RNA is filed under the name uncultured bacterium. Its description in RNAcentral is "partial 16S ribosomal RNA". It matches the Rfam family "Bacterial small subunit ribosomal RNA", at positions 29 to 507 of the family's 1533-position model. The record is from RNAcentral.
AGCGAACGCUGGCGGCAGGCUUAACACAUGCAAGUCGAGCGGGCAUCCUUGUGGUGUCAGCGGCAGACGGGUGAGUAACGCGUGGGAACGUGCCCUUCGGUUCGGAAUAACUCAGGGUAACUUGAGCUAAUACCGGCUACGUGCGAGAGCAGAAAGGUUUAUCUGCCGAAGGAUCGGCCCGCGUCUGAUUAGCUAGUUGGUGAGGUUAUGGCUCACCAAGGCGACGAUCAGUAGCUGGUCUGAGAGGAUGAUCAGCCACACUGGGACUGAGACACGGCCCAGACUCCUACGGGAGGCAGCAGUGGGGGAUAUUGGACAAUGGGGGCAACCCUGAUCCAGCCAGGCCGCGUGAGUGAUGACGGCCUUAGAGUUGUAAAGCUCUUUUCUCCGGGACGAUAAUGACGGUACCGGAGGAAUAAGCCCCGGCUAACUUCGUG